UACGGGAGGCAGCAGUAGGGAGUUUUCGGCAAUGGGCGAAAGCCUGACCGAGCAACGCCGCGUGAGUGAUGAAGGUCUUCGGAUUGUAAAGCUCUGUCAGGAGGGACGAAUUCUGCGAUCAGGAAAUGGGUUGCAGCUGACGGUACCUCGUAAGGAAGUGACGGCUAACUACGUGCCAGCAGCCGCGGUAAU
This 192-nucleotide ribosomal RNA is filed under the name uncultured rumen bacterium. RNAcentral's name for it is "partial 16S ribosomal RNA". It matches the Rfam family "Bacterial small subunit ribosomal RNA", at positions 340 to 524 of the family's 1533-position model. The record is from RNAcentral.